Unclassified non-coding RNA from Rhinopithecus bieti (black snub-nosed monkey), 97 nucleotides. NCBI's taxonomy places the organism in Eukaryota, Metazoa, Chordata, Mammalia, Primates, Cercopithecidae. The record is from Ensembl.
GUCACUCGGUGUUCUCACCGAAAGCACGUAAUCGCCGGUGUAACUCAUGUUGGCUGGGGGCCUCCCGGCGCGCGGAGGGGCUGGGGGGUGCGCCCCC